Molecule: ribosomal RNA, 439 nt
Filed under: uncultured bacterium
Lineage: Bacteria
Description: partial 16S ribosomal RNA
Rfam family: Bacterial small subunit ribosomal RNA
Source: RNAcentral
CUACGGGUGGCUCCAGUGAGGAAUAUUGCACAAUGGGGGAAACCCUGAUGCAGCAACGCCGCGUGGAGGAUGACGCAUUUCGGUGUGUAAACUCCUUUUAUCAGAGAAGAAAAUGACGGUAUCUGAUGAAUAAGCUCCGGCUAACUCCGUGCCAGCAGCCGCGGUAAUACGGAGGGAGCAAGCGUUAUUCGGAAUCACUGGGCGUAAAGGACGCGUAGGCGGGUUUUUAAGUCAGGUGUGAAAUCCUAUGGCUCAACCAUAGAACUGCACUUGAAACUGGGGACCUAGAGUAUGGAAGGGGCAGGUGGAAUUAGUGGUGUAGGGGUAAAAUCCGUAGAUAUCACUAGGAAUACCGAAAGCGAAGGCGACCUGCUGGGACAUUACUGACGCUGAGGCGUGAAAGCGUGGGGAGCAAACAGGAUUAGAUACCCCGGUAGUC